This 103-nucleotide ribosomal RNA is filed under the name uncultured bacterium. Its description in RNAcentral is "partial 16S ribosomal RNA". It matches the Rfam family "Bacterial small subunit ribosomal RNA", at positions 355 to 455 of the family's 1533-position model. The record is from RNAcentral.
UGAGGAAUAUUGGUCAAUGGGCGGGAGCCUGAACCAGCCAAGCCGCGUGAGGGAAUAAGGCCCUACGGGUCGUAAACCUCUUUUGGUCGGGGAACAAAACCGG